AGCGAACGCUGGCGGCAGGCCUAAAACAUGCAAGUCGAACGCCGUAGCAAUACGGAGUGGCAGACGGGUGAGUAACACGUGGGAACGUGCCCUUUGGUUCGGAACAACACAGGGAAACUUGUGCUAAUACCGGAUAAGCCCUUACGGGGAAAGAUUUAUCGCCGAAGGAUCGGCCCGCGUCUGAUUAGCUAGUUGGUGAGGUAACGGCUCACCAAGGCUACGAUCAGUAGCUGGUCUGAGAGGAUGAUCAGCCACACUGGGACUGAGACACGGCCCAGACUCCUACGGGAGGCAGCAGUUAGGAAUCUUGGACAAUGGGCGCAAGCCUGAUCCAGCCAUGCCGCGUGAGUGAUGAA
Molecule: ribosomal RNA, 356 nt
Filed under: uncultured bacterium
Lineage: Bacteria
Description: bacterial SSU rRNA
Rfam family: Bacterial small subunit ribosomal RNA
Source: RNAcentral